CUGCCUCUGUCUUUCAAGUUCUGUAAUUACAGGCAGGAUUUUCAUUCUUUGAAAGAAAAGAGAAAGCUCAAGGCCAUCCUCCACUUUAGAGAGAGAGUGUGUCACAAAAACAACACUAAAGAAGAAAAGAAAAGAAUAGGGGAGAAGGAGGAGAAAUGGGAAGGUUAAUCUUCAUUGAACUCUGAGAGAACAGGCCAAAGGAAGAGACUGGCUUCAAGUUGAGGGUUUUAACGGUGUCAAGGUGCUUGUAAAAUGCCCAUGGCAAAUCUUCACUACAUAGGGUCUCCAUUAUCUUGCAGCUCUGUCAACUAACCAAAGAGAAUAAUUGCUCUAUUUAGUCAGCACUGGGGUGUAAUUUGCAUACAAUGUAGAUAUACCCUUUUAAAGACUGUUGUGCCUUAUUUAAAUAGUUAUCAAAUGCAUUACAUGAAAUAGCUUUUCCCAAAUUGUCGAGGAACAUUUGGCCUGGACACAGCGUGCUGGAAGUACCAGGAGAAGUUUCCCAGAAUGGUACUCAAAUCAGUCACUGACCAUAAGCUGGUACCAAAACAGCCAUGACCACCCUGUUGGAUAUUUUAAGGCUAAUGACAGAAGCUUUUAUUUAUAUUGUGGAAAGCAUUUUCAAAAUGUCAAUGCCUGGAGGCUGCGGAAACAGGCGUAUGUGUAUGAAAGUAAAAUAAGGAACUCUAAGAUGCUGGAGAAGCAUGGAGAACAAGGACAAGCCAGCAGCAAAUGCCAAAUCACUUUACAAAUCUGGAAAUCUGUUGUGCCACUUUGCUGGAAAUUUUUCUAUAGAUUUGCAUGAUGUUGACAUUGAACUCCAGAUGCCCAGGCCCUGCCCUUGCAAUCACAUCCACGAUCUCCUUCCCUGGACAUACUCCUGUCCUAUGGGCUUCUCUCCCAAGCUCUCAAUGCAUUAGGGCCUAGCACUUGCUGAGUGUUCUACCUGAAUGGGACUGUUCCCCUCUCUGACCUUGCCUGCUCACAGUGGAGAACUGAGGGUGUGCAUAGUUAUCCCCAAGAUGAAACAUAGGCAAAUUGGAAAGCAACAGACAAAAUGUGCCUACAGCCAGCAGGGAAGACUUGGCUACAGUUGAAAGCAAAAAUCAAACAUGACUUUCAUGAAGCCCAAAAAAUGAUAGGUCCCCUAGCAACUGGACCUUGACGUAGCAUUGGGAAAUGGAAUUGGUGUUUCUGUUGGUUGAUUAUUUCGUUGAUUGGUUGGUUUGCUGUUGUGUUUGUUUCUAGGUGGGAGGUGGGGGCUAGGGUUUAGACAGAUUCUCACUAUGUCUCUCAGGCUGGCCUAAAGAUCAUGAUCCCUCCCCUGCCUCAACCUUCUGGGAUUACAAGCACCUACUAGCAUGCCCACCUUAGAAUUGGCAUCACAUGUGAGAACAGGACCCUCAUAUGUAGUGU
This 1416-nucleotide long non-coding RNA is filed under the name Cricetulus griseus (Chinese hamster). RNAcentral's name for it is "lncRNA (ENSCGRG00015038297.1)". Lineage: Eukaryota; Metazoa; Chordata; Mammalia; Rodentia; Cricetidae. The record is from RNAcentral.